This is a long non-coding RNA of Aethalodelphis obliquidens (Pacific white-sided dolphin), 1502 nucleotides long. RefSeq lists it as uncharacterized. Lineage: Eukaryota; Metazoa; Chordata; Mammalia; Artiodactyla; Delphinidae. The record is from RefSeq and is a predicted model, not a curated record. The transcript is spliced from 3 exons.
UGCCUGUUGGGCCGGCCAGGCCGGACUGCAAGAUUAACCCGCAGAGAGCAGGCAGAAGGAGGUCGGGGAGUUGAACAGCCACUGGACAGAGAGGAGCAGAGCUUGAAGGGGAGAACAGGAGAAGGCUGCUGCUGUCAGAGCACCGACUGGAAAGAGGGCUUGGACCCCAGCCCCAUGCCCAUCCUCCCAGACAUUGUAGCACAUACCGCCACCUGUGAGCUGGAGCAGGAGAAGAUGCGCUUCAUGGCCGGGGCCGGGGCCACGGGGGGACGGGGACGCGCGGAGAGCGGGGUCACAGGUUCCUGAACCCACCGGACUCGUCUGCAGCUUUGUAAGAGAGCUGUCAAAAGCAAACCGGGACCCGCCCCAGGGGGGGCCACCCCGUUCAAUCAGAGGCAAGAAUCCGAGGGCUGGUCUUAACACUCCGCCCCUGGCCCAGCCUCACUCCGCCGCUGCGGAGACAAAAAUCCUGCAGUCUCCGCCUGGGCUUGGUCUCAAAACCUCACCCUCCCAAACCGAACCCGCCCCCAGCUCCGACCUGCUCAAUCGUAAAAGGGACCUCAGGUCCCCAGACCCGGGAUCCGGCUAAAACUCCUCCCCCUGCCCCGCCCCGCCCCGCCCCGCCCCUCCCCGCAGUUCCAGGCUGCGGCUCCACCCCAAGCCCCGCCUCAGCCCCGUUCCCCGGAGCGCAGCCGCAGGAGUCUCCCGGUGUGCACGCCUCUUAGAAACUGUCGCAUUUAACCACUGGUGACGAAGAUUUGAUUAUAUCCAGAGAUGUUUGCCGACUUAGUUACCUCUGCUUCCUCCCCCCAUUCCGCGGCCAAAAACCCGGGCACAAAGAAGGAUUUGAAGAGAGCAGUUUGGAAACGGGAGGAGAUUGUAGUGCCGAGCAAAGGACUGAGCGUGGAUGAUGCACGACCCACCGCAACGUGGAGAAAGGGGACCAAGCCUAAUAUCCCAACGCACCUCUACGUUAGUAAAGGGCACAGGGAGAGGAGCGAUUUUUUUUAUUCUAAGCAUUCCCUUCCACAAAAAUACGCACAAAACCGUCUUCAUUAUUUCCACUGCCCUUUAAAUUCAGAUUCUCAGCAAUUCGUGCUUGAACAGUCAGUCUACCCGUCUCUCUUUUCUCCUCCCUUCAGCCAGAGAGAGCACACUCAAAUGCAUAUGAAAGCCUACAGGAUAAAGGUCAGAGUUCUUAACGUAGUUUACUAGGCUCAUCAGGAGCGGCACUCUGCCUGUUCAAGUCUCAUCUCUCACUACUUUCACAAACAGUCUAAUGCUCAGGCUGCUCCAAUCUACUACAGUUCCCUUCCCGACUGGUGAUUAAUCCUCCCUGGAAUGCCUCCUCUCACACUUGGUGGCCCCUCAAGACUUUUUUUUUUCUUCAUACAUAAACUCUGUAAACUUUUAAAGUCCCUCCAACCUCACCUAAAAAAGUGUGCCUCUUGUGUGCGACACAUUUCUAAUACUGAUAUGUCGUCUAGCAACCAGCUCUCUGU